This is a long non-coding RNA of Rattus norvegicus (Norway rat), 5385 nucleotides long. RefSeq lists it as uncharacterized. NCBI's taxonomy places the organism in Eukaryota, Metazoa, Chordata, Mammalia, Rodentia, Muridae. The record is from RefSeq and is a predicted model, not a curated record.
GUUUCUCUUCUGCUCCCAGAAGCUUUAAGUUUCAGUUUCCAUUCAUCUCUAAUCAAAGUAGAUUUGGGGACUGUGGCUUUGAACAUCCUUCUGUAAAAGUUAGUACUGUUAAGAUUGGGAAAACGGAGACUUUGGGAUUCUUGAGGGAGUGACAGCCACAGACUUCCCAGGCCACUUUGAAAGCAGCCACCUAAAUGGACACACAGCUGUCUGCAGUUGUCUGACAGUGACCACCAUAUUCAAGAAUUAGAUAUCCCCUCCCCGAAUCCAUCCAUGAGGCAACCGAAAAGCAAACUGGAAAAGAAAGAAAACUGUUAGUUUUAAUUUAAGAAAGGAAGAGCCAACGCCCCUUCUAAAUAUCCACUCGCCUUGGUAGAUUUAUGCUUCUCCUCUAAUGAAGAAAAAUAAAGAAAAUCAAAGUAUCCCCUUCAAUACAUUCCUUACUUUUAUAUCCACUCAAUUUUAAACAUUAAAGCUUCAGCCAUAAAAAUGAUGUUGACCUUUUGGAAGGAAUGCAUUCAUUGUGUAAGUACAAAUAAGACCAUUCUGCUUGGCCUGUGAGCUCCCAGUGAAUUCUCUGGUCUCUGCUUCCUGACUUGCUGUAAGAGUGCUGAGAACUUACGUCCCACUUCGUUUGGGUUGUACAAGGGUUCUGAGGAACUAAACAUGGGUCAUGUUAAUGCCACCAGGCAAGAAUACGAGUUUGAGCCAAAUUUAAAGCAAGCUUGAUUUUGAUUAGGGUGUACCUGAGAGCUGACCAGUUGCCGCCUCCUAGGUAUUGUUAAAGAGAGCAAACCUGAGUCUGUUUCUUGGGGCCCUUUUAAGAAGUAAAACCAGGGGUAGUGGCUAAGCAGGUUUACAGAAGACAAUGGAGCAGUAAGUGCAGAAAAGUCUCAAGAAAAAAAAAAAAAAAACCCAACACCCAUUAUCCUGUGGCCACCAUGUGAUUAGAAAGCCGGAGGAUGCUGGAUUCUUACAGUAAAUACCCCUCUCUGUAAGUUUAUCUGGCAUUGUCUGCCACACUGCCCAUGAGUGAAACUGUGUGCAGAGAUCUCUGAGAGCUUGUGGAAAAACUCCAAAUAAGCAGGAGGAAUAUCUGUUCUUCUAUAACAUGGGUCAUUCUUGAAAAGUGCUUCCCUGCUUCUCCUGGGUGUAAAUAGGAAUGUAAAUAGUAAAUAUUCAAAGUCGUUCCCAAGAAUGAGUUGCCCUCCUGACUGUUUACAGCCUGAACGCAUGUGACCUUGCCCUUGUGGCUCUAUACAGCUUGAACUAAAGUGAACCUUGCUGAUGUGACUUUGCCUAAUAUUCAGAAAACCCACAGAGAAAAGUUUUCUGGUUUCCUGAAUAAAGAUGAGUAUUGCGUAAGAGUCUCUGCCUCAUGUUUCGACUCCAAGCUCCAAGGUCCAUACCUCCAAUUAGAGUAGUAACAAUGAGGACAGAAAAAAAAUUCAACAAAAUUAUUCUUAAUGAUAUUCUAGUAUACUCAUAGAUCAAUUCCUAGCUGAAGAGCCAUCUUCCAGCAGCUGAUGGAAACAGAUACAUGGGGCCACAGUCAAACAUUAAGGAGAAAGAGAGCUCAAAUUGGAGGCUGUCUCUUGAAGCUCCAGGAGCCUCAUGAAGAGAGGGAGAAAAAAAAUUGUAGGAGCCAGAGGGUCAAGGACACCAGAAGAAAAUGGUCCACAGAAUCAACUAAGCAGGGUUCACGGGGGCUCACAGAGACUGAAUCGAGCUGCCUGGGUCUUCACUAGGUCCUCUGUAUAAUGUUAUAGCUUGGUGAUCUUGUGGGGAUCCUAAGAGUGGGAGGGGGUGUGUGUGACUCUUUUGCCUGAUCUUAGGAUGUUUUUCCUCCCAUUGGCUUGCACUAACCAGCCCUGAUAUGAGGGUUUGUGCCUAGUGUUAUUGUACUUUGUUAUGCCACAUUUGGUUGAUAUUUCUGGGAGGCCUGUUCUUUUCUGAAGGGAAAUGAAGGAGUGGAUCUAGGGGAGAGGGAAGGUGGAGAGGGAAAGGGGAGGAGUGCAGUGAGAGAAAACUACAGUUGGGAUGUAUUUAUGAGAGAAGGAUAAAUUUUAAAAAGUAAAGCAUAAAAAAAGACUUAUAGAAAGAACUCAUUGCAUAAAUUAUCCAAUGAUAAAAUUAUAGAAACCUCACUAAAUUAUUCCAAUUGUAAAUGAAGGGGAGAAAUGCAUUUGGCUAACAAACCUAUUGGUCACAUUCCCUAGAUUCUGGAAUUUCUUACCUGACACCAAAACCAGCUCAAGUACGAAUUUAGAAAAUAAGAUCUUAAUUAAUUCAACUUCAUUAUAGAAAUCUUCUUUUCAGUUUUCCAGCCAACUGGGUGUUUGCAAAUAAAUUAUUUUAAAAGUACAAUAGGCCAACAAGGUACCUCAGUAGGUUAAGUGUUUGCUACCAAGCCCGAUACCUAAUUUGACCCUCCGAGCACACGUGGUGGGGGAAAACUGACUCCUACAACAUAUGCUCCGACCUCCACAUGCUAUGGCAUGUGUGCCUGCACAAAUGUUCACACACAUAUGCGCACACACACGUGCACACACACACACACACACACACUAAAUAAACAUUUCAAAAGAUUUAAGUGUACUAGAUUUUUUUAAACAAUAAUGACUCAUAUUUAGGUCUAGGAAUAUAGCAGAAUCAUUAGGGGAAAGAAAGAAAGAAAAUAAUGUUCCAACACAAAAUCCACAGCCUUCCCAUGUUACCUUUCAUCCCUUAAGAGCCGGUCUUUGCCUGCAGCCCCAAUAGCCUGAUAGUCACAGUGCUGUCUGUCUUUGUCACAUGUAUGUCCGUCAUCUGCUCUGUGAGACAUGGUCCUUCAUCAGACAAAAACCCUCCCCCUUUUGCUCACAAUUACUAAUCCCUUCUCCUCUUCACUCAGACAGAGGUCCAGCCCUUCUUAUGGGAAGAGCUGCUGCUCAGGCUCUGGAGAAGGUAUUUAGGAGAAUUUGUGAAUAGUGUAAAGGACAAGGAAGUGAUUCCAGUAUUGUUCUGGGCUAAAUGCCUUUAUCGUUAGCUAAUCUGCUUAAAUGCUAACCUGAAGAAAACGAUGCUGGGAGUGGGCAGUCUUUAAAGGGUGAUUGGUGCAUGUGUAAUUACUUCCUCUGACUCAGGGAAGUAUCAUAGUUCAGCAGGCUCAGAAAUCUCACCGAACAGAAAAGACUCCCAACCCUAGCGCUGGCCUAUGUCCUAUGUAUGCCCUAAGCAACUGCUGGGGAGAAGAAGGAGGAAUGGGGACAGCAGGGAGUCGCACAGAGCACUCCAGGGUACAGCACGCGCUCACCCAGGCUGAAGUGGGCUUUUAGUAAUGUAGAUGGAUGUGUGGUGGGGACCUUCCAGAGAAGAGAGAGCAUCACUUGGACACAGGUUCAAGCCAAUAGAAAGUCUUAUUAGUUACUCAGUGACAAUACUGCGUGUUUGGGGUCCCAGUGCCAUCCCAAGACUUUCUUCAGGUGAGCUUUUAAGCACAGAACCUGUAGAGGGCACAGAAGUCCUUAUGCCCACAGACAAGCACUUUGGGAAACCAGGGAUGUUAGACACCUUUUCUCUUCAAAAGACAUGUGUAGGCUUAGAUUCCUCAAAACCUACUUUAAUAAGGUUCUUAAAUGUUUCAGCCUCCCUUCUAGCCCAUCAACCAAACGUAGGAGAGCUAGAUGGUCAGUGGGACAAGGAGGAUGUAGACCUCUUUAGAAGUAGUUCUUUGGGGCAAUUCCAAACGCAAAUCAGUAAUGGCAGUCAAGUCCAAACACCAAACACACAACUCAAUCCCUGAGGCUCUGCCAAAUUGGUACUAAUCUGCCAAUGUGGCAAGAAGUAGUGAGAAUACUAUGAGAAGCUCUCUGACACGUUUCUCUCAAUGGAGUCACAACGCAGAUCAGUGAAGCCCAGCAAAGCGUUGCAAGACUUACCAAUGCAAGAGUGUUCCCUCAUUGUCUGUGGCAUUAUAUUUAAAUUCUUUCUAAACACCACAAGACCCUCUCAAGUGUCUGUGUCAGCAAAACAUCCCAUUUCCUCUCACAAGACAGCUUUCAGAAAAACACCACAUGUCUGUUCUCAACAAAAUAGCCUCUCGUAAGACAGUUUCCAGAAAACCACCACAUGACACAACUGAAUCUCCCAAGAAACUAGAAAUAUCCACUUCAGAGAUAUAUUUUCUCUUUUCACCUACAGUGCUGGAAGUAGAUGUGGUCAAUAGCCUAAUGACCUCUGCACUGUCUGCAUGGCUAGGGGUUCCCCAGAUGUACAAACAGGACCAGAAGUGGUUAAUAGCAAGGGUAACCACAGACCAUACCAGAUCCCCCAGGCCUAUAAGGCAACACACAUUUAUGUAUGUAUGUAUGUAUGUAUGUAUGUAUGUAUGUAUGUAUACAUACACACACAUAUAUACAUAUAUUCACAUAUACAUAAAUCCAUUUUCAUGGAAGAAGUGAUACAUUCUCUAAAAAAGAGUUUUAAUGUAGUUAUGUCUUAAUUGUAAUUGUCCAUACAGGAUUGUGUACGCCAGAAACAGUUUUCCAACUUGCUUUGUAUUUAAACAUGCCUAAAAUAGACCAGCUAGUGCCAAACUCCAGAGUUUGAACCCACACUGGCUACUGAAUCAUGUUAAACUGGACUUCCUUCUUGAUUCAUACAGAUCAUUACUCUGCUGGGCAUGUGGUUUACAGGCACAUACAUACAAACAUACAUACAUACAUACAUACAUACAUACAUACAUACAUACAUACAAACAUCAACAACAAAAAAUACCCUGGGUUGGCACACCUCAGUUAGCAAGAAUAGUUAGCCAGAAACAGAACUACCGAAGCCAAAAAACAAAGUUAGUACAUUUAGGGAGUUUCCCAGAACAAUAGUCUUUGAUGGAUUAGGUCCUUGUUCUUGUUUUUGGCUGGUGGUUCUGCCUACAUGCUGGGUUCCAUGGCCUGAGUAGUCCUUCCAUCAUGCCAUCUGUUGUGUCUAGUUAUGAGGAAGGGGUGCUGUUACAGCCGUUUGAGUUACUCACUUUCCUUGUCAGUGACCCCCUUACCCACAAUCCUGUAAGUAAUCCAAUAAUCUUAUUAUUCCACCAACCUAGCCACUAGAAUUGUUUAUUUGGACUCUUGCCAGUGCCUCAUCUGGGGAACAGAGGCAUUUAUUUAGUCACCUCUCCCCAAAGAGUCACACGGCAGCUGGAGCCCAUGUGAAUGAGAUCAGUGCCUUUAAGAAGAAAGAACCUUCAAGAAGGGAGUCCUUCGGUGCUUCCACUAUGAAAGGCACAGAAGAUAGCCAUUUACGAACUGGACGGUGGACCUUCCCCAAACCUCAAGUCUGUCAGUGCCCUGCAGCAGAACUCCACAUCCUCCAAAACUAUGAGAAGUAAAUUUGUGCUGUUUAUGA